RNAcentral lists this ribosomal RNA (490 nucleotides) under uncultured bacterium. RNAcentral's name for it is "partial 16S ribosomal RNA". It matches the Rfam family "Bacterial small subunit ribosomal RNA", at positions 30 to 507 of the family's 1533-position model. The record is from RNAcentral.
AUUGAACGCUGGCGGCAGGCCUAACACAUGCAAGUCGAACGGUAACAGGAAGAAGCUUGCUUCUUUGCUGACGAGUGGCGGACGGGUGAGUAAUGUCUGGGAAACUACCUGAUGGAGGGGGAUAACUACUGGAAACGGUAGCUAAUACCGCAUAACGUCGCAAGACCAAAGAGGGGGACCUUCGGGCCUCUUGCCAUCGGAUGUGCCCAGAUGGGAUUAGCUAGUAGGUGGGGUAACGGCUCACCUAGGCGACGAUCCCUAGCUGGUCUGAGAGGAUGACCAGCCACACUGGAACUGAGACACGGUCCAGACUCCUACGGGAGGCAGCAGUGGGGAAUAUUGCACAAUGGGCGCAAGCCUGAUGCAGCCAUGCCGCGUGUAUGAAGAAGGCCUUCGGGUUGUAAAGUACUUUCAGCGGGGAGGAAGGGAGUAAAGUUAAUACCUUUGCUCAUUGACGUUACCCGCAGAAGAAGCACCGGCUAACUCCGUG